RNAcentral lists this ribosomal RNA (253 nucleotides) under uncultured bacterium. RNAcentral describes it as "partial 16S ribosomal RNA". It matches the Rfam family "Bacterial small subunit ribosomal RNA", at positions 524 to 776 of the family's 1533-position model. The record is from RNAcentral.
GACGAACCGUGCAAACGUUGUUCGGAAUCACUGGGCUUAAAGGGCGCGUAGGCGGUCGGUCAAGUCAGGGGUGAAAUCCUGCAGCUCAACUGUAGAAGUGCCUUUGAUACUGGCCGGCUCGAGGGAGGUAGGGGUCUGUGGAACUUCUGGUGGAGCGGUGAAAUGCGUUGAUAUCAGAAGGAACGCCGGUGGCGAAAGCGACAGACUGGACCUCUUCUGACGCUGAGGCGCGAAAGCCAGGGGAGCAAACGGG